This is a non-coding RNA of Paramuricea clavata, 114 nucleotides long. The record is from the annotation of a GenBank genome assembly. NCBI's taxonomy places the organism in Eukaryota, Metazoa, Cnidaria, Anthozoa, Malacalcyonacea, Plexauridae.
GUAGGAUACGGCGACAUGGCCCCUGUUACAAUCCCCGGAAAGAUAGUGGGCUCGUUUUGUGCGGUCAGUGGUGUACUCAUGAUCGCCCUACCGGUACCGGUGAUAGUUAAUAAU